Amphimedon queenslandica is the source of this 1557-nucleotide non-coding RNA. The record is from Rfam. NCBI's taxonomy places the organism in Eukaryota, Metazoa, Porifera, Demospongiae, Haplosclerida, Niphatidae.
GGCGAGGCCGAAAGGCGUAGUCGAUGGGAAACAGGUUAAUAUUCCUGUACCUCUUAUUACUGCGAUGGGGAGACGGAGAAGGCUAGGCCAUCCGGGUGUCGGAUGUCCCGGUUCAAGCGUGAAGGGAGUCGCUCCAGGAAAAUCCGGUGCGGCAAUCCCAAGGCGUGAUGUCGAGGUCUUCCUUCGGGUUGACCGAAGUGGUUGAUGCCAUGCUUCCAAGAAAAUCCUCUAAGCUUCAGGUAAUAAGAGACCGUACUCGAAACCGACACAGGUGGGCAGGGUGAGAAUCCCAAGGCGCUUGAGAGAACCCUCGUGAAGGAACUAGGCAAAAUAGCACCGUAACUUCGGGAGAAGGUGUGCCUUUGUUGGUGAAGAGACUUGCUCUCGGAGCCGAUGGGGGCCGCAGUGACCAGGUGGCUGCGACUGUUUACUAAAAACACAGCACUCUGCAAACUCGAAAGAGGAAGUAUAGGGUGUGACGCCUGCCCGGUGCCGGAAGGUUAAUUGAUGGGGUCAGCCCUCGGGCGAAGCUCUUGAUCGAAGCCCCGGUAAACGGCGGCCGUAACUAUAACGGUCCUAAGGUAGCGAAAUUCCUUGUCGGGUAAGUUCCGACCUGCACGAAUGGCGUAACGAUGGCCACGCUGUCUCCACGAGGGACUCAGUGAAAUUGAACUCGCUGUGAAGAUGCAGCGUACCCGCGGCAAGACGGAAAGACCCCGUGAACCUUUACUACAACUUCACACUGACCUUUGAAUAUGCUUGUGUAGGAUAGGUGGGAGGCUUCGAAGCGAUGACGCCAGUUGUCGUGGAGCCAUCCUUGAAAUACCACCCUGGUAUCUUCGGAGGCCUAACCCAGGCCCGUUAUCCGGGUCGGGGACAGUGUGUGGUGGGUAGUUUGACUGGGGCGGUCUCCUCCCAAAGAGUAACGGAGGAGCGCGAAGGUGCCCUCAGUGCGGUCGGAAAUCGCACGGUGAGUGUAAAGGCAAAAGGGCGCUUGACUGCGAGACAUACAAGUCGAGCAGGUGCGAAAGCAGGCCUUAGUGAUCCGGUGGCUCUGUAUGGAAGGGCCAUCGCUCAACGGAUAAAAGGUACUCCGGGGAUAACAGGCUGAUACCGCCCAAGAGUUCAUAUCGACGGCGGUGUUUGGCACCUCGAUGUCGGCUCAUCACAUCCUGGGGCUGUAGCAGGUCCCAAGGGUAUGGCUGUUCGCCAUUUAAAGUGGUACGCGAGCUGGGUUUAGAACGUCGUGAGACAGUUCGGUCCCUAUCUGCCGUGGGCGUUGGAGACAUGAGGGGAGCUGCUCUUAGUACGAGAGGACCGGAGUGGACGUACCUCUGGUGUUCCGGUUGUCACGCCAGUGGCAUUGCCGGGUAGCCAAGUACGGAAGGGAUAACCGCUGAAAGCAUCUAAGCGGGAAGCCCCCCCCAAGAUGAUGUCUCCCUGGAUCCUUUGAGAUCCCUGAAGGACCCUUGAAGAUUACGAGGUUGAUAGGCCAAGUGUGGAAGCGCAGUAAUGCGUGAAGCUAAUUGGUACUAAUUGUCCGUGAGGCUUGACCAU